This 465-nucleotide ribosomal RNA is filed under the name uncultured Pseudomonas sp. RNAcentral describes it as "bacterial SSU rRNA". It matches the Rfam family "Bacterial small subunit ribosomal RNA", at positions 338 to 795 of the family's 1533-position model. Lineage: Bacteria; Pseudomonadati; Pseudomonadota; Gammaproteobacteria; Pseudomonadales; Pseudomonadaceae. The record is from RNAcentral.
CCUACGGGGGGCUGCAGUGGGGAAUAUUGGACAAUGGGCGAAAGCCUGAUCCAGCCAUGCCGCGUGUGUGAAGAAGGUCUUCGGAUUGUAAAGCACUUUAAGUUGGGAGGAAGGGCAGUAAGCGAAUACCUUGCUGUUUUGACGUUACCGACAGAAUAAGCACCGGCUAACUCUGUGCCAGCAGCCGCGGUAAUACAGAGGGUGCAAGCGUUAAUCGGAAUUACUGGGCGUAAAGCGCGCGUAGGUGGUUUGUUAAGUUGGAUGUGAAAGCCCCGGGCUCAACCUGGGAACUGCAUCCAAAACUGGCAAGCUAGAGUACAGUAGAGGGUGGUGGAAUUUCCUGUGUAGCGGUGAAAUGCGUAGAUAUAGGAAGGAACACCAGUGGCGAAGGCGACCACCUGGACUGAUACUGACACUGAGGUGCGAAAGCGUGGGGAGCAAACAGGAUUAGAUACCCGGGUAGUC